AACAACAUAAGAUAUCAUGUGUAGUUGGAUA
Molecule: non-coding RNA, 31 nt
Filed under: Trypanosoma brucei brucei
Lineage: Eukaryota; Euglenozoa; Kinetoplastea; Trypanosomatida; Trypanosomatidae
Source: RNAcentral